Molecule: long non-coding RNA, 1581 nt
Organism: Sycon ciliatum
Lineage: Eukaryota; Metazoa; Porifera; Calcarea; Leucosolenida; Sycettidae
Exons: 2
Source: RefSeq, a predicted model, not a curated record
AAGGCUUCCUGUCUGAAGCCUUUCCAUACUGGUACUCGAUGUUCCAGUUUUGUGACACGAGAAUGGCACGAGAAUUAGUGUACCGCUGAGUGUACCGCUAUACACGUGGUCGACACGUAGUCGACACGUUGUUGAUACUUUUUUGACACGUGACCCCGUCAACGGUCUGCUUUGUGCCAAUGCCACUCGGUAAACGCCGAUGUCGCGUACGACAAAGACGACUAUCCCGUACGCGAAAUAGUUGAGCAUGCAUGACGUGGACCUGACGGCAAGGACAACUGCGAGGAGGGCCCUUUCGGUACCCCUGACGGGAAGGAGAACUGCAGAAGUCGACGAAGUCGAACGAGGACUCGAGGAGGCCCCUUACAACUGCUGACGUGGACCUUUUGCACCUGGAACGGCCCCGUAAACGCUGUCGUGUCGGCGGAGUGAAUGUGCAGGGUACUAGGGUGAAAAGAAUUGCUGCAAAGACGUCCCUUCUACUAGGCUCUAGGCCUUUGCCUUUGGAGACAUGGCGAACUGAAUGCGCAGGGCGAAAAGAAUUGCUGCAAAGACGUCCGCUCUAGGCCUUUGGAGACAUCGUGGGAACUCCUUCCGGUACUAUAAAACUGCUGACGUGGCCGUGGACAUGUACAUGGAGAGUCAUGGUGGGACUUCAUGUACAUGUGGGGAUUCCUUCCGGCACCCCCGUACCGCAAAGCCAACGGUGGGGAAGGAGAAGUGCAGACGUGCAGGAAGACGAACGAGGAGGAACCAGGACGAGCGAGCAAUGGCAGGACUAGCUGGACCGUAAGUAAUAGCUGAAUUGUGCAUGACAACUUGACAUCCAUGCGGCACUCGCCACUUGCCACUGCAUAUUUCUUGUCCACUAACAAUGUCUCUCCUCUGCCCCCUGUGUGUCCACGGCCCUGUUGCUGAAUUGGCCCGAUGAAUCGAAUGUCUUCCGCAACUGGAACGGCCCCGUGAACGCUGUCGCGUCGGCGACUGAAUGCGCAGGAGGGAAAAUAUUGCUGCGAAGACGUCUCCUCUAGACGACGGUAUAUCAUCCCGUGACGACCACAUUGAAGUCUGAAUUUGAAGUGUGAAGAUGCUUCAGCAACCACAUCGUACUUUUCCAUUGCUUUCAUUGUGCUUCUACUGUGCAUGUGUGUAACUUGUGGGGUAAACAUGUGAUGACAUUGUAUGCUGGCGACACGGUCAGAUGUUCAUGCGUCUAACGUACACCUGCAUGUUAUGCAUUGAAAAGGGUUUGCCACUUGCGAUCCUGGGACGAGUAUCAGGUCCGCUUUGUCCUGUGUGGGCUGUAUCAGAUUGCUGUUCACUUCUCUAUCUGUUGGAUAUGUGACUUUCUGCAAGUUUCUGGUGUAUGAUGGCCACGUCCUUGCUUGUCACUUUGUAUGAUAUUACAUUCUGUAUUCGCUGCUUCCAUGGCAUGGUCUGCAAACUGCAAUCAUUGGGCAAAUGUCAUGUUUGCUAUGUUGUGCUUUGGCCGUCAGCUUGUCUACACGCUGUAGUUGAAUUAUUUUUGUUUCACAACUGACUUCCUCAAGUACGGUGGCCACUGCUUUGCAUGGCAUUAUA